Cavia aperea (Brazilian guinea pig) is the source of this 58-nucleotide microRNA precursor. Lineage: Eukaryota; Metazoa; Chordata; Mammalia; Rodentia; Caviidae. The record is from Ensembl.
CACUGAGCUAAAUCCUUGGCCCUUGGUCUCAGCACUUGGGAGGCCGAGGCAGGAGGAU